UACGGAGGAUGCGAGCGUUAUCCGGAUUUAUUGGGUUUAAAGGGCGCGCAGGCGGCGUGUCAAGUCAGCGGUAAAAUGUCGGGGCUCAACCCCGGCCGGCCGUUGAAACUGGCGUGCUCGAGUUGGAGAGAAGUAUGCGGAAUUCGUGGUGUAGCGGUGAAAUGCAUAGAUAUCACGAAGAACCCCGAUUGCGAAGGCAGCAUACCGGCUCCACACUGACGCUGAGGCACGAAAGCGUGGGUAUCGAACAGG
Molecule: ribosomal RNA, 252 nt
Filed under: uncultured bacterium
Lineage: Bacteria
Description: partial 16S ribosomal RNA
Rfam family: Bacterial small subunit ribosomal RNA
Source: RNAcentral